UACAGGGGGGGCAAGCGUUAUUCGGAAUUACUGGGCGUAAAGGGUUCGUAGGUGGCCAACUAAGUCAGACGUGAAAUCCCUCAGCUUAACUGGGGAACUGCGUCUGAUACUGGAUGGCUUGAGUGUAGGAGAGGAAUGCGGAAUUCCAGGUGUAGCGGUGAAAUGCGUAGAUAUCUGGAGGAACACCGGUGGCGAAGGCGGCAUUCUGGACUACAACUGACACUGAGGAACGAAAGCCAGGGGAGCAAACGGG
RNAcentral lists this ribosomal RNA (253 nucleotides) under uncultured bacterium. Its description in RNAcentral is "partial 16S ribosomal RNA". It matches the Rfam family "Bacterial small subunit ribosomal RNA", at positions 524 to 776 of the family's 1533-position model. The record is from RNAcentral.